This is a non-coding RNA of Schistosoma haematobium, 48 nucleotides long. NCBI's taxonomy places the organism in Eukaryota, Metazoa, Platyhelminthes, Trematoda, Strigeidida, Schistosomatidae. The record is from Rfam.
AUUUAGCUGACGAGUCCCAGAUAGGACGAAAGGUUCGUCAAACUGGAU